Molecule: ribosomal RNA, 264 nt
Filed under: uncultured archaeon
Lineage: Archaea
Description: partial 16S ribosomal RNA
Rfam family: Archaeal small subunit ribosomal RNA
Source: RNAcentral
ACGACUACAUUAGAUACCCCCGUAGUCCCAGCCCUAAACGAUGCGCGUUAGGUGUAUCGGUGACCACGAGUCACCGAGGUGCCGAAGGGAAACCGUGAAACGUGCCGCCUGGGAAGUACGGUCGCAAGGCUAGAAACUUAAAGGAAUUGGCGGGGGAGCACCACAACGGGUGGAGCCUGCGGUUUAAUUGGACUCAACGCCGGGAAGCUCACCGGAUAAGACAGCGGAAUGAUUGCCGGGCUGAAGACCCUGCAUGACCAGCUG